GUGAGGAAUUUUCCGCAAUGGACGAAAGCCUGACGGAGCAAUGCCGCGUGAAGGAUGAAGGCCUAUGGGUUGUAAACUUCUUUUCUCAGAAAAGAAUUAUGACGGUAUCUGAGGAAUAAGCAUCGGCUAACUCUGUGCCAGCAGCCGCGGUAAGACAGAGGAUGCAAGCGUUAUCCGGAAUGAUUGGGCGUAAAGCGUCUGUAGGUUGUUUAAAAAGUAUUCUGUCAAAGAUUAGGGCUUAACCCUAGAUAGGCAGAAUAAACUUUUAAGCUAGAGUUUGGUAGAGGCAGAGGGAAUUCCCGGUGGAGCGGUGAAAUGCGUAGAUAUCGGGAGGAACACCAAAGGCGAAGGCACUCUGCUGGGCCAAUACUAACACUGAGAGACGAAAGCGAGGGGAGCAAAUGGGAUUAGAUACCCGAGUAGUCC
RNAcentral lists this ribosomal RNA (426 nucleotides) under uncultured bacterium. Its description in RNAcentral is "partial 16S ribosomal RNA". It matches the Rfam family "Bacterial small subunit ribosomal RNA", at positions 354 to 796 of the family's 1533-position model. The record is from RNAcentral.